GCGUUAGCCAGCGGUUAGCAUCUGGCGGCACAGAAAUGUAACUCUAAUAUUUUUCAAGAAAAAGGAGGGACUUCCAUGUAUUUGCGAGUCACGAUGACGAGUGCGGGACCAGCGAUGGAGCCGUGGAUCAAGCCACAGCUCCGAUCUGCAGGAGACUGAUUAUUGAUUUACAGUUUAAGUACACUAACAAGUACAAGACAUCUGCAUCAUGGGAAGGAUCAGCUUCUCGUGCCUUUUCCCAGCACCGUGGCAUUUCAGCCUCUCGUCCCAGGUUCUUCCUCGGCUCCUGGUACCUUCCCUCAGACAGCUGCUCUUCAUCGGCCUGGUGCUCUGCCUCAUAGGACUGCUCUACCUGCUGCUUGUCACUGGAAAGGGGCACGCCAGA
Pseudoliparis swirei is the source of this 385-nucleotide long non-coding RNA. RefSeq lists it as uncharacterized. The record is from RefSeq and is a predicted model, not a curated record. NCBI's taxonomy places the organism in Eukaryota, Metazoa, Chordata, Actinopteri, Perciformes, Liparidae. The transcript is spliced from 3 exons.